RNAcentral lists this long non-coding RNA (483 nucleotides) under Rattus norvegicus (Norway rat). RNAcentral describes it as "long non-coding RNA NONRATT034099". Lineage: Eukaryota; Metazoa; Chordata; Mammalia; Rodentia; Muridae. The record is from RNAcentral.
GAUAUUGUCCCUAAGAGAACGAGAUGCUCUUUGCAGAAGACAUAGAAGAUUCCUGAAACUGGGAAAGGGGCCUAGAAACCUGGAGAAGAGUGAAGAAGGCAUUUUCCCUCCCCUGCUUAGGCAUCUGCCACCAUAUUCAAUACUUUCUCCAGGGUUCUCAGGUUUCCCAUUGGCUUGGAAUUUGUCAAUUAGUUUUGCUGGCUGGACAGAAAGCCACACGGAUCCUCUUGUCUUGGUCUCCUGACAUUUGGAUUAAAGUCAUUUCCUGAAUCUAUGACAAGACUUGAGAGACCACCAAAGCCCAAGAGGUCUUGUUUCACAAGAGAAUCUUCAGGUGUUUUAGGCCUUUAUGACACAUCCCAAGCCCUUCAGAGAGCCACAAGAAUGGCCCAGAGGAAAUUCUAAACCACUAUGACUCAUGGGUCACCUGGAGGUGCAGGCCAUCGCUAUGUUAAACCUAUGAGGUGAUGAUAAACCACACAA